GCCGGGCAUGGUGAUGCAUACCUGUAAUCCCAGCAGCUUGGGAGGCUGAGGCAGGAGGAUCGUGAGUUCAAAGCCAGCCUCAGCAAAAGUGAGGUGCUAAGCAACUCAGUGAGACCCUGUCUCUA
Molecule: small RNA, 125 nt
Filed under: Marmota monax (woodchuck)
Lineage: Eukaryota; Metazoa; Chordata; Mammalia; Rodentia; Sciuridae
Source: RNAcentral